UACGUGUUAAAAGUGAAUUUUGUGAUUUUUCACUAAAAACCGUAAAAAUAAUUAUUUUAAAUAUUUUUAAAGGCCCAAAAAUAUUUUAACUCAGCCCAUAUGAUAUGAUUUAAUGUUUUUGAAUAUUUGGUAAAGUUGAGUUUAUUUUGCCCCUAGAGUUCGAAUUAUUUACAAGAAUGCCAUAAUGGCAAACUUGUAAAUAAUUGAAACUCCAAAUAAAUAUCUAGAUAUUUUCCUAAGCUAAACUUGGUGCCCAAGUCUCUAUUUCAUCUUCUUCAUUUUGUGGGUGCCGAAUACUCCAUAGCUCCCAACACAAAACCUUACACUUUUAUUUUCUCUCAAAACUUUCUUCACGAAAAUCGUCGGAAAUAUUGCGUAGAUCGUGUGUGUGUGUUUGCAUGUUCGUUUGAGAUCCAGCGAGUUUUGUCGCGGAAACCGGCGAGCAAAGGUUUUGAUAUUCGACGGGUGGUAUUUUUAUAUAUUUGGAAUAAGCGAGUACUGUGAGUGUGUUUACAACUUAUACUGCUAAAUAUUAGUAUUAAAAAUAUUGCGAACUGCUUUA
Mercurialis annua (annual mercury) is the source of this 562-nucleotide long non-coding RNA. RefSeq lists it as uncharacterized. The transcript is spliced from 2 exons. The record is from RefSeq and is a predicted model, not a curated record. NCBI's taxonomy places the organism in Eukaryota, Viridiplantae, Streptophyta, Magnoliopsida, Malpighiales, Euphorbiaceae.